CCUACGGGUGGCUGCAGUGGGGAAUAUUGGACAAUGGGGGCAACCCUGAUCCAGCCAUGCCGCGUGUGUGAAGAAGGCCCUCGGGUUGUAAAGCACUUUCAGUGAGGAAGAACGCCUGGUGGUUAAUACCCAUCAGGAAAGACAUCACUCACAGAAGAAGCACCGGCUAACUCCGUGCCAGCAGCCGCGGUAAUACGGAGGGUGCGAGCGUUAAUCGGAAUUACUGGGCGUAAAGCGCGCGUAGGUGGCUUGAUAAGCCGGUUGUGAAAGCCCCGGGCUCAACCUGGGAACGGCAUCCGGAACUGUCAAGCUAGAGUGCAGGAGAGGAAGGUAGAAUUCCCGGUGUAGCGGUGAAAUGCGUAGAGAUCGGGAGGAUUACCAGUGGCGAAGGCGGCCUUCUGGACUGACACUGACACUGAGGUGCGAAAGCGUGGGUAGCAAACAGGAUUAGAUACCCCAGUAGUC
RNAcentral lists this ribosomal RNA (465 nucleotides) under Vreelandella stevensii. RNAcentral describes it as "partial 16S ribosomal RNA". It matches the Rfam family "Bacterial small subunit ribosomal RNA", at positions 338 to 795 of the family's 1533-position model. Lineage: Bacteria; Pseudomonadati; Pseudomonadota; Gammaproteobacteria; Oceanospirillales; Halomonadaceae. The record is from RNAcentral.